GACGAACCGUGCGAACGUUGUUCGGAAUCACUGGGCUUAAAGGGCGCGUAGGCGGUCCGACAAGUCAGGGGUGAAAUCCUGCAGCUUAACUGCAGAAGUGCCUUUGAUACUGUCGGUCUUGAGGGAGAUAGGGGUGUGCGGAACUCACAGUGGAGCGGUGAAAUGCGUUGAUAUUGUGAGGAACGCCGGAGGCGAAAGCGGCGCACUGGAUCUCUUCUGACGCUGAGGCGCGAAAGCUAGGGGAGCAAACGGG
This 253-nucleotide ribosomal RNA is filed under the name uncultured bacterium. RNAcentral's name for it is "partial 16S ribosomal RNA". It matches the Rfam family "Bacterial small subunit ribosomal RNA", at positions 524 to 776 of the family's 1533-position model. The record is from RNAcentral.